RNAcentral lists this long non-coding RNA (1164 nucleotides) under Ricinus communis (castor bean). Its description in RNAcentral is "long non-coding RNA (RCOM_LNC000269)". Lineage: Eukaryota; Viridiplantae; Streptophyta; Magnoliopsida; Malpighiales; Euphorbiaceae. The record is from RNAcentral.
UUAUAACUCAACUAAAAUCUUGCUCUUUCUCUAAUUCAUUGUCAAACAUUAUUCCUUUAAUGUAUAAAAGUUCUGUUUUUAAUAAUGGGUUGGUGAGUUAUGCAUAUGAUUGUUGUACCAGACAUUAGUCAGAUGCCUACUGUGUGUUACACUAGUAGUAGGGAUUGUUACAUGUCUGGGAAAUUAAAGAAAGGGAAGGGAAUAUGAUAGAUGGGUUUCCUAUCUGUGUAUUUACCAUCUCUUUCGAGGUAUCCAUCGUUGCCCAAUAAUAUAUGUUUGAUUAUUAUUUGAGCUACAUCUGGACUCCACAUACAUGUGUUUUUGUCAUAUGUUCAAAAUGUGGUUCUACAUUGAAUAAUCUUUGAGAUCGUCGGAUGUUUAUUUUACUUGAGUGAAUAUUCAUGAUUCAACCAGACAUAGUCAGAUGUCUACCGUUUAUUUUAUGGUAGAGAUUGUUACAUGUCUGGAAAAUCAUAGAGUGAGAAGGAAAUAUGACUGACGGGUNNNGGAAAUAUGACUGACGGGUUUGCCGUAGGUCUAUUAACCAUCUCUCGGAAGUCUUCAUCGUUGCCCAAUAAUAUGCAUUUAAUGGUUAUUUGAGCUACAUCUGGAGUCUACAUUCCCCUUUAUGUCUAGAUUGCUGUUGGUAUCAAUUUUUUUUUAAUAGAUUUAGAUGAUUUGAAUUGGAGAAGGCCAAAGCUCUUUCCAUACUGCAUUCGUUCUUGUGUUAUCAGUUUUCACAUGUCUGCUAUAGCCCCUGUAUAAUCAUUAUGAAAAAGAAGGCCCUUUUCUUACUUUCAGCUGUGAAUACAUUGUUGCACUACUUAUAAUGUUCUUGUCAUGGAAUGAAAUUAAAGAAAAGAAAGUCUCUCUACUGUUUAAGCUGGUCUGCACCUGGCCUUUUGAUUUUUAUAGUUUAAAUUAUCAUGAAUGUGAUUGUGCGUUUUGCAUAUCAGCUUCUGAUUGUUUCAAGAAGUUGAAAGUCUUAUACAAUACAAUUUUAUAAUAUUGCCUCACCUCAGUUUAGAAUACAAUGGUCUAACAAUUUACUCUUGCAUUCUGAUUCUACCUUGGUAAUGUCUUUCCUUUUUUCUUCCUUACUUUAUGAUUGAAAUGUCUGUACAUAGAAAUGAAAAAGGUAACUAACUGUCUAAUUAUAGGUUG